This 254-nucleotide ribosomal RNA is filed under the name uncultured bacterium. RNAcentral describes it as "partial 16S ribosomal RNA". It matches the Rfam family "Bacterial small subunit ribosomal RNA", at positions 524 to 776 of the family's 1533-position model. The record is from RNAcentral.
UACGUAGGGUGCGAGCGCUGUCCGGAAUUAUUGGGCGUAAAGAGCUCGUAGGCGGUGUGUCACGUCGGCCGUGAAAACCUGCAGCUUAACUGUGGGCGUGCGGUCGAUACGGGCAUCACUGGAGUUCGGCAGGGGAGACUGGAAUUCCUGGUGUAGCGGUGAAAUGCGCAGAUAUCAGGAGGAACACCGGUGGCGAAGGCGGUUCUCUGGGCAUUACCUGACGCUGAGGAGCGAAAGUGUGGGGAGCGAACAGG